This 72-nucleotide transfer RNA is filed under the name Paramuricea clavata. It matches the Rfam family "tRNA". Rfam says of the family: Transfer RNA (tRNA) molecules are approximately 80 nucleotides in length. Their secondary structure includes four short double-helical elements and three loops (D, anti-codon, and T loops). The record is from Rfam by way of RNAcentral. Lineage: Eukaryota; Metazoa; Cnidaria; Anthozoa; Malacalcyonacea; Plexauridae.
GGUUCUGUGGUGUAAUUGUUAGCACUUUGCACCCUGAAUCACAGGAUCCGAGUUCAAGUCUCGGCAGAACCU